CUCAAAGGCAUAAGAGCAAUGGGUGGUCCAGUUAUGGCCCUUUAAGAGCCCUCUUAUUUCCAUCCACAGCUGUCCUCACCCCAGCCUGCUGUCCAGAAUCCAGCCAUCUACCAGCUGGCCUUCAGUGCCGCUAAAGCCUCUGGUUUUAGGGUAUGUGACAUCAAGGCAUCGGAGCAAAGGCCUAAUCACGUUAACAUCCACAACCAGACGCUCCACUCAUUUGACUAAUCAAAGAGAACAGCUCGUUCAGAGAGAAGAGAGGCACUGUAUGAGGGACGUCUGAGAGAGAAAAACAUCAAAAGGCAACAUAAUCCAGAGGCGGGGGAAUGCAGCUGGGUAGACUUCAUGUGGCCACCUGGGUUCUUCUCAAGUCUAACCCACUUCCAGAGCACCCUUAGAGGU
This is a long non-coding RNA of Rhinichthys klamathensis goyatoka, 402 nucleotides long. RefSeq lists it as uncharacterized. Lineage: Eukaryota; Metazoa; Chordata; Actinopteri; Cypriniformes; Leuciscidae. The transcript has 3 exons. The record is from RefSeq and is a predicted model, not a curated record.